GACGAACGCUGGCGGCGUGCUUAACACAUGCAAGUCGAACGGAAAGGCCCUGCUUUUGUGGGGUGCUCGAGUGGCGAACGGGUGAGUAACACGUGAGUAACCUGCCCUUGACUUUGGGAUAACUUCAGGAAACUGGGGCUAAUACCGGAUAGGAGCUCCUGCUGCAUGGUGGGGGUUGGAAAGUUUCGGCGGUUGGGGAUGGACUCGCGGCUUAUCAGCUUGUUGGUGGGGUAGUGGCUUACCAAGGCUUUGACGGGUAGCCGGCCUGAGAGGGUGACCGGCCACAUUGGGACUGAGAUACGGCCCAGACUCCUACGGGAGGCAGCAGUGGGGAAUAUUGCACAAUGGGCGGAAGCCUGAUGCAGCAACGCCGCGUGCGGGAUGACGGCCUUCGGGUUGUAAACCGCUUUCGCCUGUGACGAAGCGUGAGUGACGGUAAUGGGUAAAGAAGCACCGGCUAACUACGUGCCAGCAGCCGCGGUGAUACGUAGGGUGCGAGCGUUGUCCGGAUUUAUUGGGCGUAAAGGGCUCGUAGGUGGUUGAUCGCGUCGGAAGUGUAAUCUUGGGGCUUAACCCUGAGCGUGCUUUCGAUACGGGUUGACUUGAGGAAGGUAGGGGAGAAUGGAAUUCCUGGUGGAGCGGUGGAAUGCGCAGAUAUCAGGAGGAACACCAGUGGCGAAGGCGGUUCUCUGGGCCUUUCCUGACGCUGAGGAGCCGAAAGCGUGGGGAGCGAACAGGCUUAGAUACCCUGGUAGUCCACGCUGUAAACGGUGGGUACUAGGUGUGGGGUCCAUUCCACGGGUUCCGUGCCGUAGCUAACGCUUUAAGUACCCCGCCUGGGGAGUACGGCCGCAAGGCUAAAACUCAAAGGAAUUGACGGGGCCCCGCACAAGCGGCGGAGCAUGCGGAUUAAUUCGAUGCAACGCGUAGAACCUUACCUGGGUUUGACAUGGAUCGGGAGUGCUCAGAGAUGGGUGUGCCUCUUUUGGGGUCGGUUCACAGGUGGUGCAUGCCUGUCGUCAGCUCGUGUCGUGAGAUGUUGGGUUAAGUCCCGCAACGAGCGCAACCCUUGUUCACUGUUGCCAGCACGUUAUGGUGGGGACUCAGUGGAGACCGCCGGGGUCAACUCGGAGGAAGGUGGGGAUGACGUCAAGUCCUCAUGCCCCUUAUGUCCAGGGCUUCACGCAUGCUACAAUGGCUGGUACAGAGAGUGGCGAGCCUGUGAGGGUGAGCGAAUCUCGGAAAGCCGGUCUCAGUUCGGAUUGGGGUCUGCAACUCGACCUCAUGAAGUCGGAGUCGCUAGUAAUCGCAGAUCAGCAACGCUGCGGUGAAUACGUUCCCGGGGCU
This 1347-nucleotide ribosomal RNA is filed under the name uncultured bacterium. Its description in RNAcentral is "bacterial SSU rRNA". It matches the Rfam family "Bacterial small subunit ribosomal RNA", at positions 28 to 1381 of the family's 1533-position model. The record is from RNAcentral.